RNAcentral lists this ribosomal RNA (397 nucleotides) under uncultured bacterium. RNAcentral describes it as "partial 16S ribosomal RNA". It matches the Rfam family "Bacterial small subunit ribosomal RNA", at positions 523 to 918 of the family's 1533-position model. The record is from RNAcentral.
AUACGUAGGGGGCGAGCGUUGUCCGGAAUUAUUGGGCGUAAAGGGCGCGUAGGCGGUCCGGUAAGUCUGGAGUGAAAGCCCUGUUUUCAAGAUGGGAAGUGCUUUGGAUACUGUCGGGCUUGAGUGUGGGAGAGGUAAGUGGAAUUUCCUGUGUAGCGGUGAAAUGCGUAGAGAUUGGGAGAAACACCAGUGGUGAAGGCGACUUACUGGACUGUAGCUGACGCUGAGGCGCGAAAGUGUGGGGAGCAAACAGGAUUAGAUACCCUGGUAGUCCACACUGUAAACGAUGAAUGCUAGGUGUAGGGGGUAUCGACCCCUUCUGUGCCGCAGUCAACACAAUAAGCUUUCCGCCUGGGGAGUACAGCCGCAAGGUUGAAACUCAAAGGAAUUGACGGGG